AAACAGAUAGCUUAAAUUUUAAAGCAUAACACUGAAGAUGUUAUUAUAGAUUCUUUCUUCUGUUUA
Molecule: transfer RNA, 66 nt
Filed under: Dendronotus frondosus (frond-aeolis)
Lineage: Eukaryota; Metazoa; Mollusca; Gastropoda; Nudibranchia; Dendronotidae
Description: tRNA-Phe
Rfam family: tRNA
About the family: Transfer RNA (tRNA) molecules are approximately 80 nucleotides in length. Their secondary structure includes four short double-helical elements and three loops (D, anti-codon, and T loops). Further hydrogen bonds mediate the characteristic L-shaped molecular structure. tRNAs have two regions of fundamental functional importance: the anti-codon, which is responsible for specific mRNA codon recognition, and the 3' end, to which the tRNAs corresponding amino acid is attached (by aminoacyl-tRNA synthetases). tRNAs cope with the degeneracy of the genetic code in two manners: having more than one tRNA (with a specific anti-codon) for a particular amino acid; and 'wobble' base-pairing, i.e. permitting non-standard base-pairing at the 3rd anti-codon position.
Source: RNAcentral